This 297-nucleotide long non-coding RNA is filed under the name Musa acuminata (dwarf banana). RNAcentral's name for it is "long non-coding RNA (MACU_LNC009795)". The record is from RNAcentral. Lineage: Eukaryota; Viridiplantae; Streptophyta; Magnoliopsida; Zingiberales; Musaceae.
UUAAAGCAAAGAUAUAAAGUCAGUUUGCAGUUAUAAUGGAAAUCAGAACGUAAGCGCAAACUGAAAUACGAAGUUCGUACGAUAAAAUUGAUUUGCGUCUUAAACCUCGAUUCGAAAAGCACUGAACUUUGAAACACGUUCGUAAAAACACAGAAGGCAGUAAGCUAUUGAGGAGGUUUGCAGUAAAGAUAAGAUGCUUAAAGUAAAUGCAAACCGAGAUUUAGAGUGGUUCGGUCAAUCUUGACCUACUCCACUUUUGGCUUCCUCCACCGACGAGGUCACCGACGUCAACUAGAG